CUUUGACACGGCUGCCCUGCUCCUGUCAUUACUGGGCACACUGUAACCAACAAACAACAACUUUACAUCCACUGUAAUUGCUACAUAAUUCAACAGAUGCAGUGGAAUGACCUCCAGUGAAUCUUGGCUCUUGAGGCCACAGGACCCUUUGGGUGGCUGUCUGACAGCACGUCCACACGGCAUCACACAGACUCAUCUCAUGUCAGAGAGGGGCAUCUCCAGCCAUUAGAAUUUAUCAGCACAUACUGUCCCCUGGAACAUCAUGCCCAUCCCCCAAAAGCCCACAAAACAACCAGCCUGCCUCUUGGUCACAAUGCCACAUCUAUUCAAAUCAGCCCUUCAUACACAAGACUGCAGCGGAAAUUGGUCUUUUGUCACUCAAGAUUAACAAUCUCUUCCCAAAUCCCCACGGAAAAUUCCAAAGUCCCAGUCACUCAGUGACUCGCUGUGACGCAAAUGCGCCUCUCGUCCAGGAUGCUGAGUGUACUUUUAAAUAGAAGUGUUUUAGUAAAAUCUAUAUUCACUGUUUCCACUAAACUCAAGUAGGUGGGCAAAACAGGAUGAGCGCUCGGAUAGGUUCAAGAGUUUCAUCAGCUCGAGCUCAAAAAUAGACCCUCAAACACAUCAUUAUCGGGGUUUGUAUAUAUGCACUGAAAGUGAGACAGAAUCUGCCAGAUGAAGUUAGCAGGGAGACGCCUGACCCGAUAUUUCCUUUGUUGUUUGGUCAGGAAAGGGAAGGUUAUUGUAAACCGACUCGAGAGUAAAUAAUCCCUACGUUUCCAUAGCAAAGUCAUAAACAGCCUGCAGAAACAAAGGACGAAAAGACAAUAAAUCUAAUGAUGGUCAAUUUUUGUUUAGUUUCCAAAGUGUUUUCGAGUGAAAUUCUAUUUUGAAACAAAGAGGCACCUACAUUUUUCCAUGGAGAAGGGGAAAUCAGAUGUUUCAGAGAUUUCUGCGCUUCUUUUUUUAUUUCUUCAAGUGAAUAGCCCGUGUAUUUUUCCUGGCAGACCUGCCUUGUGUUGUGACAGAUAUAUGGAUACUGUUUUGUUAUUCUGUCAAGAAACUUCCAGUAUAACAAAACCUGUUUUUAGGGCUCUGUAACAAGGAAGUUUCAAAGUUCAAGAUGUUUGAAACUAUCACUUGGCCCACACUCAAAAUGCGAGCACCAUUCAGAGCACAGACUACAGGACAAGGGUUGAAGCAACAUGUUGAAACUGUGAACUUCAGACGAACUACAUUUAAACAGUAACACAGACAAAUAGUAACUCAUCCUAGACCUGAUGACUAAAAUAGUAUACUAAAUAAAUGAAAGCCAUCUGAAGGUUGAUUUUACAUCAAAACACCAAUGUGUUUUUUGAGCCUAACACAUGAAGAGAGUUAAACAAAAUCAGUUACAGAGUUGGUUUUGUGUUGACAAAACCAAACAAACUGAACCUCGUUCUCAUCUGAUUAAGUGGUCUCACAAAGCUUACUAGAGUAAAAAUGUGAUGUUUACUUUUUUAAAUAAAUAAAUAAUAAAUUACAUUAAUUCUAAAGCUUAUUUAAAGCUUAUUACAUUUUAUAUUUGUACUAAUUUAAUUUAAAAAAUGUAAUAUUAAUUGGCAAAUUGUAAUUCCAGGUAAUGCAUUGUAUGUUAGUAAACUAAGAUUUGUAGACUUAAAAAACCUAACAUAAAAAUCGCC
Molecule: long non-coding RNA, 1682 nt
Organism: Cyprinus carpio carpio
Lineage: Eukaryota; Metazoa; Chordata; Actinopteri; Cypriniformes; Cyprinidae
Source: Ensembl